RNAcentral lists this ribosomal RNA (273 nucleotides) under uncultured bacterium. Its description in RNAcentral is "partial 16S ribosomal RNA". It matches the Rfam family "Bacterial small subunit ribosomal RNA", at positions 524 to 796 of the family's 1533-position model. The record is from RNAcentral.
UACGGAGGGUGCGAGCGUUAAUCGGAAUUACUGGGCGUAAAGCGUACGCAGGCGGUUUGUUAAGCGAGAUGUGAAAGCCCUGGGCUCAACCUGGGAACUGCAUUUCGAACUGGCAAACUAGAGUGUGAUAGAGGGUGGUAGAAUUUCAGGUGUAGCGGUGAAAUGCGUAGAGAUCUGAAGGAAUACCGAUGGCGAAGGCAGCCACCUGGGUCAACACUGACGCUCAUGUACGAAAGCGUGGGGAGCAAACAGGAUUAGAAACCCCAGUAGUCC